RNAcentral lists this ribosomal RNA (253 nucleotides) under uncultured bacterium. RNAcentral's name for it is "partial 16S ribosomal RNA". It matches the Rfam family "Bacterial small subunit ribosomal RNA", at positions 524 to 776 of the family's 1533-position model. The record is from RNAcentral.
UACGUAGGGUGCAAGCGUUGUCCGGAAUUAUUGGGCGUAAAGAGCUUGUAGGCGGUUUGUCGCGUCUGCUGUGAAAUUUCGGGGCUCAACCCCGAACUUGCAGUGGGUACGGGCAGACUAGAGUGUGGUAGGGGAGACUGGAAUUCCUGGUGUAGCGGUGAAAUGCGCAGAUAUCAGGAGGAACACCGAUGGCGAAGGCAGGUCUCUGGGCCAUAACUGACGCUGAGAAGCGGAAGCAUGGGGAGCGAACAGG